Pogona vitticeps (central bearded dragon) is the source of this 2673-nucleotide long non-coding RNA. NCBI's taxonomy places the organism in Eukaryota, Metazoa, Chordata, Lepidosauria, Squamata, Agamidae. The record is from Ensembl.
UACUCCAAGAAAUAAGCCCCAGUUAAGUGAAACCCCACCCUCCACAAUUGUGCAGCAACCAGAAGAUGACAUGACUGUACAGUAUUUGGAUAAAUAUAGAUUGUUGUACAUGAAAAAAAUUGCCUGGAAAUAAGCCCUAAUGCGUUUUUGAGCAAACACAGUAGAUACUUCAUUUGAAGGAGGUGGGAACACUUUGACUUCAGUAAAGUUACUUUGUGAAAACAUUAUGAAUGGCAACAUAAUGAGCAAAUCACAUUAGGUUUAAAUUCACAGUCAUAUUAUCUUUGUGUUGUGUUUUUAAAUACACCUACAGUAAUUGGUUUUCCUAGAGGUAUACUUGACAGCCCCUCAACCUCAUGGCUGAUGAUCACACAACCAGUAGAGUUGGGGGCUAUUCAACACUUUGUUGGAAGGCAAAGGCCAGGAUGCAUCUAACACUAAAACAAACAAAAGGUUUCAGCCAAAAUCUUCACCACUUUUCUAAUUUCACUUGCUUUCUUUAGCAAUCUGAAGAAAAUCAGAGACUUAUAUGAGAAUAUGAUAAAGGAAAUACCAGUUUCACCAAACGGUGCUGGGGUGGUAAUGCUGAAUGAAGAAGAAAUUAUUAAAAUUGAGUUUGAUAAAGUAUAUAAUGCUUUGGAAGUGAGGAAAAAACAGUUACUUGAAGAUGUUGAAGUCCAGAAGAAAAGGAAACUGAAAGAGUCACUAAUAUGGAACAGAAUGAAAGACGUUCACAAGAAAACCAUUGAAAAUGUUCUGAAUGAUUGUGAGAAGCUUUUAAAUGAAUAUAAUCCGCAGCGUUUUCUAGAGGUCGCAUGCAGCUUGAAUCAAAGAAUGAAGACUCAGCUGGACCUCAUGCAAAUAGCAUGCAGCCAUGGGAAUCAGUCAGAAUGCAAACAAGUGCAGAUGGAUACAACAGAUAUAGUUAAUGAUAUCUUAGCCUUGAACCUCACUGCUGUUGAUCUGGAUGUUGUUAAAGACAUUCCUUCCAGAGAUGUUGAACAUUCUAUCUCUGCAAGCCCUGGAAGCAAACUGGAAGUUAAGGAAAAUGUACAGAAAACAACUUAUGAGAUGCGUUAUAACUAUUAUAUGAAACAUCAAGUGUGUUUAGAUGAAUUACAGGCACAGAUCUCUCCUCAAAAUGAAAAUUUUCCAUUAUUGAAAUGUUUGUCUUCAAAGAGCGCAACUUCAAGAUUUGUUCCUUCUUGUCUUAGUGCUAAAGCAAAAAAUAAGAAAAAAAUCGCAACAUUACAGAGACCAUGUUUUAGUGAAUCUGGUGUGUCUAAUCCACUUGGUUUUACAUUCAAUGCAGAAGCAAUGAACUUCAAUUUCUGUAGCUCAAACAAUAAACUGAAUCUUCAAAGAGUGAAUCAGUCUCAGAAUGAUGCCAAGGAAACUUCCCAAUCAGCAGUUAGCAAUAGCUGUCAAAAUACAACAAAAUUACUUCAACCUCAUGUAGUAACACUUUCUUCUGAAGACCUCAUCUCAUCUACUGUAUUUCCAAAAGUAUCUGAGUUAGCAGCAGUAUCUGUUGCUGCUGUAAACCCAUGUAUUUCAGGUGCUGUGUCAGGACAUUCAGCUUCACCUUUCAUUUUUGGUCCAAGUGGCAAUUUGGGAACAACUCCUUCAAGUAAGAAAUCGUCUGUAAUGUUUGAAAAAGAAAAGGUGGCUUUCUCCACUCUUUCUCUGGUUAGAUCUGAAAGCCAGGAUUGCAACAUAAACAAUAUAAAUGUUUAUAAUUCAACAAAUGGUUUCUUGACAGUUGCUACCACUGUCUCUACCAUCAGUCCAAAGUCUGGUACAGCUGUAAGUGGAAAUCCUUUCUUAUCUACUUUUCCUGCUAAUUCUGAAAGUGAUUCUUGUCAGACAACUACAGUGAGCAGCAGUUCAGAGCAAAAGUCAUUUUCAUAUUUGAUUGCUGAUCAGAAGAUACUACAAGGAAACAAAGCAGUUUGCUUCAGGAAACAGAAUAAUGAGGGUAAUAGUUGGGUCACAUACUCUGCCAUUGACUCUAAUAAGCACUUAAUAUAUAGCUCUAAUGAUGCUUUCUCCAUGGCCUGCACAACAUCCAGUUUUACUGCUUCUCAUAUGAUAGAUACUUCAGAAAAGCAGCCUAUACCUGAUAGUGUCUCCUCAAAGAAUGACUGUUCCACAAAUGGCAUUCAUCUUUUACCUUUGAAAAGAGGCAACAAAAAUUGUGGUGAUACUUUAAUCUCCAUAAAACCUUUAAAGAAAAUUGAAUGUGCAACUGAGAAAUCAAAAGUGAAACCUGAAGACAAAAAUGUAACUGUACAAAGAUCUGUGCCUUCAAAAAAAGAUGUAGCUGCUUAUAAAGAACUGAAAGACAUAAGGAACUGCUCUUCCUUGGCUUCUAUCAACAAGUGUCCAAAAGCAAAAACUUGUAGUGUACUAGUUCCUCAGCAAAAUGUAGCCCAUGAUCUUACUGUAAACAGCACUUCAGAUUCAGUUAAACUCACAGAAAUGGAGAAUUCAUUAGAAAUCUUUCCACCAGCUGUUGAAGACCAUAAAGUGUUUUCUUCAGUUCUUGAUGGAGCAAGUUGCACAGUAAAUUCAGAUUCUGAUGUAGAAGAUUUAAGCCAAGCAUCUAAUGUUAGUGAUUCUAGUAGUACAUCUGAAUAUUUUUCUGUUACUGAGGAUCAAAUUUCCUGUUGA